This 650-nucleotide ribosomal RNA is filed under the name Acinetobacter schindleri. RNAcentral's name for it is "bacterial SSU rRNA". It matches the Rfam family "Bacterial small subunit ribosomal RNA", at positions 812 to 1462 of the family's 1533-position model. The record is from RNAcentral. Lineage: Bacteria; Pseudomonadati; Pseudomonadota; Gammaproteobacteria; Moraxellales; Moraxellaceae.
UCUACUAGCCGUUGGGGCCUUUGAGGCUUUAGUGGCGCAGCUAACGCGAUAAGUAGACCGCCUGGGGAGUACGGUCGCAAGACUAAAACUCAAAUGAAUUGACGGGGGCCCGCACAAGCGGUGGAGCAUGUGGUUUAAUUCGAUGCAACGCGAAGAACCUUACCUGGCCUUGACAUACUAAGAACUUUCCAGAGAUGGAUUGGUGCCUUCGGGAACUUAGAUACAGGUGCUGCAUGGCUGUCGUCAGCUCGUGUCGUGAGAUGUUGGGUUAAGUCCCGCAACGAGCGCAACCCUUUUCCUUAUUUGCCAGCGGGUUAUGCCGGGAACUUUAAGGAUACUGCCAGUGACAAACUGGAGGAAGGCGGGGACGACGUCAAGUCAUCAUGGCCCUUACGGCCAGGGCUACACACGUGCUACAAUGGUCGGUACAAAGGGUUGCUACCUCGCGAGAGGAUGCUAAUCUCAAAAAGCCGAUCGUAGUCCGGAUCGCAGUCUGCAACUCGACUGCGUGAAGUCGGAAUCGCUAGUAAUCGCGGAUCAGAAUGCCGCGGUGAAUACGUUCCCGGGCCUUGUACACACCGCCCGUCACACCAUGGGAGUUUGUGCACCAGAAGUAGGUAGUCUAACCGUAAGGAGGACGCUACCACGGG